AGUCGAGCGGACUUGAUGGAGUGCUUGCACUCCUGAUGGUUAGCGGCGGACGGGUGAGUAACACGUAGGUAACCUGCCCAUAAGACUGGGAUAACCCACGGAAACGUGAGCUAAUACCAGAUAGGCAUUUUCCUCGCAUGAGGGGAAUGAGAAAGGCGGAGCAAUCUGUCACUUAUGGAUGGACCUGCGGCGCAUUAGCUAGUUGGUGAGGUAACGGCUCACCAAGGCGACGAUGCGUAGCCGACCUGAGAGGGUGAUCGGCCACACUGGGACUGAGACACGGCCCAGACUCCUACGGGAGGCAGCAGUAGGGAAUCUUCCGCAAUGGACGAAAGUCUGACGGAGCAACGCCGCGUGAGUGAUGAAGGUUUUCGGAUCGUAAAGCUCUGUUGCCAGGGAAGAACGCCUAGGAGAGUAACUGCUCUUAGGGUGACGGUACCUGAGAAGAAAGCCCCGGCUAACUACGUGCCAGCAGCCGCGGUAAUACGUAGGGGGCGAGCGUUGUCCGGAAUUAUUGGGCGUAAAGCGCGCGCAGGCGGCAAUGUAAGUUGGGUGUUUAAACCUAGGGCUCAACCUUGGGUCGCAUCCAAAACUGCAUAGCUUGAGUACAGAAGAGGAAAGUGGAAUUCCACGUGUAGCGGUGAAAUGCGUAGAGAUGUGGAGGAACACCAGUGGCGAA
RNAcentral lists this ribosomal RNA (679 nucleotides) under Paenibacillus sp. 10UB. RNAcentral's name for it is "bacterial SSU rRNA". It matches the Rfam family "Bacterial small subunit ribosomal RNA", at positions 60 to 719 of the family's 1533-position model. The record is from RNAcentral. Lineage: Bacteria; Bacillati; Bacillota; Bacilli; Caryophanales; Paenibacillaceae. RNAcentral also lists the same sequence under 1 other name.